GACGAACGCUGGCGGCGUGCUUAACACAUGCAAGUCGAACGGAAAGGCCCUGCUUGCAGGGUACUCGAGUGGCGAACGGUUGAGUAACACGUGGGUGAUCUGCCCUGCACUUCGGGAUACGCCUGGGAAACUGGGUCUAAUACCGGAUAGGAGCCAUUUUUAUUUUUAUGGUUGGAAAGUUUUUUCGGUGUAGGAUGAGCUUGCGGCCGAUCAGCUAGUUGGUGGGGUAAUGGCCUACCAAGGCGGCGACGGGUCGCCGGCCUGAGAGGAUGAACAGCCAGACUGGAACUGAGACACGGUCCAGACUCCUACGGGAGGCAGCAGUGAGGAAUAGUUCACAAGGAGCGAAAGCUUGAUGGAGCAAUGCCGCGUGCAGGAUGAAGGCCCUCGGGUUGUAAACUGCUAGUAUAAGAGAAGAUUAUGACGGUAACUUAUGAAUAAGGGACGGCUAACUACGUG
This 459-nucleotide ribosomal RNA is filed under the name uncultured bacterium. Its description in RNAcentral is "partial 16S ribosomal RNA". It matches the Rfam family "Bacterial small subunit ribosomal RNA", at positions 28 to 507 of the family's 1533-position model. The record is from RNAcentral.